Drosophila montana is the source of this 638-nucleotide long non-coding RNA. RefSeq lists it as uncharacterized. The transcript has 2 exons. Lineage: Eukaryota; Metazoa; Arthropoda; Insecta; Diptera; Drosophilidae. The record is from RefSeq and is a predicted model, not a curated record.
GUCAAGUUUACCCAAAUUGAAUUAAGAAAAAUAUAUUUUCUAUAAAUUUAAGUAUAAAAAGUUUAUUAAAUGAUCAAUUAUGCAAAAUGGAAACAGUGGAUUGAGGAUCGUUUAUUAUGGAGGUGGGGGAAGCGCUACAUGUUCAUCCACGCUGGCAAUAAAAAACAAAUCAAAUUUCAGUUGAGUUUUUCCCAAAAGGAACUGGGCACAGCGCACGGCAGGAGUGCAAUUGCAGGCAAUUGUGGUGCCAAGUAGAAGAUGGAAGAACGGAAGGUGGCGGCUGGCAAUUGGAAGAUGCUGUUGACGCGCUUCCCACACGCCCGUGAAACCCACAACACGAUCAGGCGAGACCCAUCGGGACAACAGCCACAGCCACAGCAACAAGGUGAUCAUGUGGCGCUACAACGGAUCCCUCGUCAUGUUGCCAAGCAUUGCCAAAAAGUCAGUCAGUCAAUUUCCAGGUUCUUCCACUCGUUCUCUGGAUCCAAGCACCUAGGCUGGCGCUCGCGAAAUAAACGAUUAUCAUCCAUUAUGAGCUGUUUUUCCCCCUGUAGUGCCUGGACAGAGGCAGAGGCAGCUGCUGUCCAUAUAGUUUGGCUGUGUGUAGUCGUAUUCUUAUAAAAAUGUUUGUUUUACUA